UGCAAUAUCAUUUGUAACUCAAUUGACUUAAUGAUCAAAACGAGUGUUUUUUUUUAUUAUUAUUUGCUACGUUGCUUCUAAGUCAACACUUAAAAAUCGCCGAAUAUCGCUCAUAAUUUUGUUAAAGCAGUUACAAGUUUGAAGACAUAUUGAUGAUAUAUUGAUAUCUGAAUCGAUAAAGGACAUUUAUUGCAAGCUUACCUUUUAAUUGAAGGUGAUCGGUGUUUGAUUAAGUGCGUUUUCUUAAGUGUAAGGUGAUAUAAGUCUUUUACGUUUUGAUUUGAAUGAAAUGAACAAGGUGAAAGAAAAUAUUUUGAAGGCUGUACCGUGUUUUAAUUGUACUAUGAGUAUGUGUUUAUGGAAAAGUUGUAUAUCAUUGUCACGCUAUUGGAUACAUUACUUUGCAUUUGGACUACUGAUAUUCAUUAAUAUGCCAAGCUUAAAAAUCAAAAGAGUUGUUGGCUGUAUAGUUCACCUGCUUUACUUGGUUCAUGCGACUGACCUUCGUGGUCCUACCUAUUUAGACCUAGAGCUCUGUACAGGAACAGAUCCUAUGUUUUGCGCUGAGGCUUCCUGCAAACGAUGUCUACCACAAAGUUGCUCCGACAGAGAGUAUAGACAUCGGUAUCGAGAAGGAUGCUGUGGUACUAAAGAAACGAUAGAAAAUCCAGAUUGUAUGGAUAUUUGCUCGGAUGGUAAAUAUGGAAAUGCAUUGAAGCAACACUACAUACUGCCUUAUGACUUGUACCUCUCGCGUUCUUAAGUGUACAUCUUGCUUGUGUUCUUACUUGUCUGAAUUCGU
Molecule: long non-coding RNA, 802 nt
Organism: Mya arenaria
Lineage: Eukaryota; Metazoa; Mollusca; Bivalvia; Myida; Myidae
Exons: 3
Source: RefSeq, a predicted model, not a curated record